AGUCGAGUUGUUUGGGAAUGCAGCUCUAAGUGGGUGGUAAAUUCCAUCUAAAGCUAAAUAUUGGCGAGAGACCGAUAGCGAACAAGUACAGUGAUGGAAAGAUGAAAAGAACUUUGAAAAGAGAGUGAAAAAGUACGUGAAAUUGUUGAAAGGGAAGGGCUUUUGAUCAGACUUGGUGUUUAGUACUCUCUGCUCCUUGUGGGUGGGGCUCUUGCUUUAUACUGGGCCAGCAUCGGUUUUGAUGGCAGGAUAAUGACUUUGGAACGUGGCUUCAUUCGUGAAGUGUUAUAGC
This 292-nucleotide ribosomal RNA is filed under the name [Candida] sp. AZ005. RNAcentral's name for it is "Candida sp. AZ005 partial 26S ribosomal RNA". It matches the Rfam family "Eukaryotic large subunit ribosomal RNA", at positions 263 to 561 of the family's 3401-position model. Lineage: Eukaryota; Fungi; Ascomycota; Saccharomycetes; Saccharomycetales. The record is from RNAcentral.